This 251-nucleotide ribosomal RNA is filed under the name Balansia nigricans. RNAcentral's name for it is "partial 28S rRNA". It matches the Rfam family "Eukaryotic large subunit ribosomal RNA", at positions 1939 to 2193 of the family's 3401-position model. Lineage: Eukaryota; Fungi; Ascomycota; Sordariomycetes; Hypocreales; Clavicipitaceae. The record is from RNAcentral.
GGAUAAGGAUUGGCUCUAAGGGUUGGGUGCGUUGGGCGUUGGGCCUUGGGGGGACGCCCUGGGAGCAGGCAGCCACUAGCCGGGCAACCGGCCGGCGGCAGCCAGCAUCCGGGCGCUGAUGCCCUUGGCAGGCCUCGGCCGUCCGGCGCACGUUUAACAACCAACUUAGAACUGGUACGGACAGGGGGAAUCUGACUGUCUAAUUAAAACAUAGCAUUGCGAUGGCCAGAAAGUGGUGUUGACGCAAUGUG